Molecule: long non-coding RNA, 320 nt
Filed under: Lathyrus oleraceus (garden pea)
Lineage: Eukaryota; Viridiplantae; Streptophyta; Magnoliopsida; Fabales; Fabaceae
Description: Pisum sativum (pea) long non-coding RNA (PSAT_LNC030123)
Source: RNAcentral
AAAAAAUGGUGUUGGUAUUAUGUGUUUGUGUGAGUGAAGAGGUUAUGAGAGUUAUGUUUAUGGUGAUGAAGAAUAUGAAAGAAAAAUGAAGUGUGUUUUGCGUGUAGUGUGAAGGUUGGGGCUGUUAUGGUUGUGGAAAGAGAGUAUUUUUUUAUGGUGUUAUCUUGGUGAGGGAGGGAGGGGGUAUUAUGUUGGUGGAAGAAAAUAUAUGAGAGUUAUGAAGGGAGGGUGAUAUUAUAGUAUGUAGCAGGGAGUAUUAUUUAGUAUGGGAAAACAAAGAUGAGGAAAAGUGAGGAAGGUGUAAAGUGUGGUAGGUGAUU